Molecule: long non-coding RNA, 290 nt
Filed under: Elaeis guineensis (African oil palm)
Lineage: Eukaryota; Viridiplantae; Streptophyta; Magnoliopsida; Arecales; Arecaceae
Description: long non-coding RNA (EGUI_LNC048394)
Source: RNAcentral
UAGUUGAGCAAAUGUGAGAAGGUCAAAAUUGAAAACACUCUUAAUUUCCUUCCUCUCACUCCUUUUUGUUCCACUCAAUUGUUUGAAGAAUAAAAUCAAUAAUCUCAAAAGCUUAGCUCUUAAUUUGAAAACUUCAUUUUUAUGACUUCAAAGAUAUCUAUAAUUAAUGUUCUAGCUGUUGAAAGCUUGAAAUAAUUAUUGCAAACAAAAUAUGAUUAUUUAAAAUAAUAUAAAAAACUAACAAUUAUUCUGACAAAAAUCUAUGAGUCGGCUCAUCCAAGCUCUUAGUC